AUAAUGUUUUGCAUUUUUUAAAAGUAAUAUUUUUAUUUUGUCUUAUAUCAAUCUUCUCUGGUGUCUAUUUAUUUAGAGAAGUACUAGGAAUUGUUGGUAUAAAAUCAGACCAUCUCACAAACAUUUGAUACAACAAGUAUCAUUAAUUCCUAUCAUAGUCUCAGGAGGCUAUUAUAUCUGAUUGGGUAAUUUUCUACUUUGAUCAAUUUUUUUGAGGACAAAGUACUGUUGUGUAGCAGGACUAAGAAAAUAACAGCAUUUGAUGACCUAUUUAACAUUUUCAUAUUUACAGAGUCCAAAAUUAGCAGUUCUAUGUGUAGUUGAGAGACAUUCUGUAAUCAGAAGAGGAAAGGUGGUGGAGGAGGAAAGCCAUUGCAGGAAUUGCAGCUCCUGGUGUAGCUGUGGUCACAGGGCCUUUCACAGAGACACAGAGAAAGUGAGGAAUCAGUCCUUCUCUCCCUGCACUUCUAGCAGUCAUGGGCACUGGAGAGCACAGCGACAUGUAACACCUAUAGUAGGCAAAUUACUGGCACAAUAGUUAUUGGAUAGACACUGGGAUUUUUAGCUCUGUUCCUUAAUAAAAUGUCUUUCACAUGCCUCUGAGGAACUUUA
Molecule: long non-coding RNA, 612 nt
Filed under: Anser cygnoides (Swan goose)
Lineage: Eukaryota; Metazoa; Chordata; Aves; Anseriformes; Anatidae
Description: lncRNA (ENSACDG00005009234.1)
Source: RNAcentral